RNAcentral lists this long non-coding RNA (2747 nucleotides) under Numida meleagris (helmeted guineafowl). RNAcentral's name for it is "lncRNA (ENSNMEG00000015333.1)". The record is from RNAcentral. Lineage: Eukaryota; Metazoa; Chordata; Aves; Galliformes; Numididae.
GUUGGGAUCUAAAAAAGUGGCAAGUAGAAAUUCCUUCUUAAAGAAAAGGUGAGUUAAAAAUGACAUUUUUAACCGGAUUCUAAAGCCUGACGAGCUCAAAUUGUGUUUUGGACUAAGCAAACCACCUUGUUCUCCCAAACCCCUUCAAUUUUGCCAGUGUUCCCAGAGCAUGGGCUGUGAAAAUGGUAUCAGGAUGAAGAGAUGAGGUAAGACAGCCCCCAUGAUCCUAGGGGAGAUAGGCAUGUCCCGCAGCUGUGGCUGUGCUCCUGCUGUGGGUCCACCAUGACAGGCACACCUGUGGAGACACAAAAGGCCUCACGUAGCCCAAAAGGUCCUCCAAUCUGGAGAGGAGCUGGGCUGUUUUCUGGCUCUGAGAUUGGGAGUGGAGUACAAAGAUGGUGGGAAAACACCUAUUCACCUUCCCACUGAAACAUAGGACCUCCCUGCCUGGGGCCUGUUUGUUGUAAAAUGGUAAAGGAGGGCCCUGACUGGGAAGAGGAGAAAUUGCAGGCCCUGCAGGCUGGGGCACAGAGCUCCCUGUUGAAUUAAAAAAAAGCACCAAGAAGGUGGUGAUAUGGCCCAGGAACCAUUCUAACAGAGCAAGCCUUGAGCUGGCAGAUGCUCGCGCACAUAAUACAGUGCCUUUCUGCUGCUGUUCAGUUACUUUGUGAAUGCCACCAGAAGUCUCAAAUAAGGAUAGCACUCAUAUACUCACCAUCCUGAGAAAAAAAACAUCUGAAGGCCUUAAUCUCCUAUUGCAAAAAAAAAAAACAAAAAAACAUUGUCUUGGCCAUCAGUACACCACCAGGCUCUGCAGUAUCUUUGCCUGCCUGGGGGUUUUGGCUUUCCAUAUGCAAAAUCAGCUCUGAUGUGGUGCAGGUGAGUUUGAGUCUGCCUCACCACUAUGGAUGUGUCACCUGCUCAAGGAACUUCAGACUGGCCCUUUUUGCUGACAUCCAAUGCACUCUGCCUUUCUUGUGUGGACACAGUGGACUGCCCCAGCUUCAGUGGAAACAGCCUGUUGUCUUGCUAUUGCUUGUGCCUUAUCUUGCUAUGCCUGUGACUCGUAACUCAUCCUUGCAGAUCAGCCCACUGAUACAUGUUCUUGAAUGGACCACCAGGGGAUGGCUGAACUUUCCUACGGUAACCUUCCCAGGACAGUCUCCUACAUGCGUGUAGCUAUAACCCUGUAAAGGUGCCAGUGGAUUCGAAAAAAAACCACUGCCGCGUGAGACUGAAAUAUGUCAUUUCAUCUAGCUGGUGAGAAAGAAAAUUGAGAAGCAACUUCAUUAUACCACUUAACAUGGUGACAGAGGGAGAACAGCUCAUGGACUCUUCGGUCUUGCAGAGAAGGGCAAAGCAAAAAUAGUGGUUGGAAGGUAGAGUCAGGGAAAAAUCAAUUUGUUCUUUCCGGGUGAGAGUGAUUGGAACAAUUUGCCAAGGGAUGUGGUGGAUUCUGGACCUGCAUUGGAGUCUUGAUUGCCAUUGUGAAAGAUACACGGCCCUGAACUCAAAAUGGGGUGUAAGUGCCGACUGAACAGUCUGACAGUCCCACUUGGCUGUGAACACCAGUGAUGUUUCAUCCAUGAUCCAGCUAAAUGAAUGUGGGUCUGGAGAUCAGUGUGUGGGUUCCCAUCUGACCACCCAUCUGGAGCAUCCGGAUUUGGCAAGUGAGCAUGCCAGCAGAACGUCUUCUGAACAGGCUGUGUCUUUUAUGGAAUGAGCUGGACUUCGUGUACAUCAUUGCUGCAAUACCUGUUCCUUGGCCAACAAAUGUGAGCAGGAAAUUUGUUAUGGAUACAAAGCAAGCAGCCUGGGAGGAAAAAUGAUGCCACUUGGAUGGAAAUUUUCAUAUAUCAGAAAAAGAUGUCUGUUGUAUAGCAAACAGGCUGUUAAGUAUGUUUGUUAUUUUUAGCCAAUAAUGCACUUCAUGAAAGAGUGCACUUGAUAAGGAACAGCCUCGGAUGUGAGGGAGACAGGACAACAGCAGGUUGUCAUUAAGGCCAAUUUGACUGGCAGCUGUAAAAGUAAAUAGCACUGCUGCUCUUGGUUAACAAGCAGCAAGUGGGGAGAUUGAACAAACUUUCAGGUCAUAAAACAAAUGUAAAGCUUAACCAACAUCAAAGUGUCAUUUGGUGUUUUAUUUGUAUUAAAAAAAAAAGGCAGGGAUUUCAUAUUUCUGCAGUUCCUGUGCAGUCUCCAUCAGACCCACCUAUGAGCAAGAAUGGUACUGUACAUAGGGAAGGUGUUUGAUUUUGAACUUCUUGUUUGUGUGGGUUCCACCUCUUCUAUAAAUUCAGGAGCUUCAGGGAGCUGGGGCCACAAACAUAUUGCUCAAGCAAAGAGCUGCAGUAAUUAGAUCACCCCUCAGUCAGGCACCGUGGCCCCAUUAGAAGCUUCAUUCCAUUAGAAGGCAAUGCAAGAACUACUGUCAGUCCCAUUGCCUAAUUAGCACAUUAGUGGAACCGGGAUGAUGAUAAUAGGAAAGAAAGAAAAACAUUUAAAGCCCGAAUAUUAAAGAAAAUCACAACUCGCAUAGGGCUGUUUGUUGCUUGUAGAUGAUUCCAGUGUCACCCAUGCCCCCAAACCUGGGCUGGUGCGGGUCACAGGCUGUUUGCUCUUCUCCUCUGAUCAGGGAUGAACUUGAGCUUACAGUUUUCACAUUUGCUCAUUCUAAUUGUGAACAGAAAUUCCAUACAAUCUCCUUAUUGCAAUGGAAGAAUAAAAUAAAGCUCAUUUUUUAAACA